Molecule: ribosomal RNA, 495 nt
Filed under: uncultured bacterium
Lineage: Bacteria
Description: bacterial SSU rRNA
Rfam family: Bacterial small subunit ribosomal RNA
Source: RNAcentral
AAAGGAAUAGACGGGGGCCCGCACAAGCGGUGGAGCAUGUGGUUCAAUUCGACGCAACGCGAAGAACCUUACCUGGGCUCGAACGGCUCACGACAGCGCCUGGAAACAGGUGCUUCCCGCAAGGGACGGGAGUCGAGGUGCUGCAUGGCUGUCGUCAGCUCGUGUCGUGAGAUGUUGGGUUAAGUCCCGCAACGAGCGCAACCCUUGCCCUGUGUUGCCACUCCGUAAGGAAGCACUCUCAGGGGACCGCCAGCGAUAAGCUGGAGGAAGGUGGGGAUGACGUCAAGUCAGCAUGGCCUUUAUGUCCAGGGCUACACACGUGCUACAAUGGCCGGUACAAAGCGUUCCCAAGCCGCGAGGCGGAGGUAAUCGCAAAAAGCCGGUCUCAGUUCGGAUUGCAGGCUGCAACUCGCCUGCAUGAAGCUGGAAUCGCUAGUAAUGCUACAUCAGAAUGGUAGCGUGAAUACGUUCCCGGGCCUUGUACACACCGCCCGU